Molecule: non-coding RNA, 21 nt
Filed under: Arabidopsis thaliana (thale cress)
Lineage: Eukaryota; Viridiplantae; Streptophyta; Magnoliopsida; Brassicales; Brassicaceae
Source: RNAcentral
UUACCUUGGUUAUUUGGGUUG